GUCGUAGUGGCGGAAUGGUAGACGCGCACGCUUGAGGGGCGUGUGGAGAAAUCUGUGGGGGUUCAAGUCCCCCCUACGACACCA
RNAcentral lists this transfer RNA (84 nucleotides) under bacterium. RNAcentral's name for it is "tRNA-Leu". It matches the Rfam family "tRNA". From Rfam's summary of the family: Transfer RNA (tRNA) molecules are approximately 80 nucleotides in length. The record is from RNAcentral.